This 31-nucleotide non-coding RNA is filed under the name Mus musculus (house mouse). The record is from RNAcentral. Lineage: Eukaryota; Metazoa; Chordata; Mammalia; Rodentia; Muridae.
UCUGAACAUUUGAUAUGGAACGUUCCUGCUC